GGGGGCGUUUUGGAUUCGACGGGGAUAGAUCGAGCAUCAGUAGCGAGCCGAGGGGCUGCGACCUCGUAAAAACGCGAAGCCAAAUGUAACUGGCAAAACUAACAAUAACUUCGCAUUAGCUGCUUAAUUCAGCUUGCGGCUCUACCACUCCAUCGCCCAUGUGGAGUGACUAGGGUUCAACCGUAGUGGGAUACGCGGUUCACCUUCCGUCUGUAGGUUGCCGAAGAGAUUAAUCAGACUAGUCCAUUAGAUCGUGGGUUGCUUGGCAGUCUAGUGGAUGAAAAUUAUUCAAGUAACUGCGCUCGGAGAAGCUGAUGUGACGAUAUUCUCGGACAGGGGUUCGAUUCCCCUCGCCUCCACCA
RNAcentral lists this transfer-messenger RNA (362 nucleotides) under Vulcanibacillus modesticaldus. RNAcentral's name for it is "Standard tmRNA". It matches the Rfam family "transfer-messenger RNA". Rfam says of the family: Bacterial tmRNA, also known as 10Sa RNA or SsrA, is named for its dual tRNA and mRNA-like properties. Its role is to liberate the mRNA from a stalled ribosome. To accomplish this part of the tmRNA is used as a reading frame that ends in a translation stop signal. Lineage: Bacteria; Bacillati; Bacillota; Bacilli; Caryophanales; Bacillaceae. The record is from Rfam by way of RNAcentral.